This 497-nucleotide ribosomal RNA is filed under the name uncultured bacterium. RNAcentral describes it as "partial 16S ribosomal RNA". It matches the Rfam family "Bacterial small subunit ribosomal RNA", at positions 28 to 507 of the family's 1533-position model. The record is from RNAcentral.
GAUGAACGCUGGCGGCGUGCCUAAUACAUGCAAGUCGAGCGAACGGACGAGAAGCUUGCUUUUCUGAUGUUAGCGGCGGACGUGCGUGUAACACGUGGAUACCCUACCUAUAAGACUGGGAUAACUUCGGGAAACCGGAGCUCACACCGUAUCAUAUUUUGAACCGCAUGGUUCAAAAUUAAAAGACGGUCUUGCUGUCACUUAUAGAUGGAUCCGGGCUGCAUUAGCUAGUUGGUAAGGUAACGGCUUACCAAGGCAACGAUGCAUAGCCGAACUGAGCGGGUGAUGGGCGACACUGGAACUGGGACACGGUCCAGACUCCUACGGGAGGCAGCAGUAGGGAAUCUUCCGCAAUGGGCGAAAGCCUGACGGAGCAACGCCGCGUGAGUGAUGAAGGUCUUCGGAUCGUAAAACGCUGUUAGUAGGGAAGAACAUAUGUGUAAGUAACUGUGCACAUCUUGACGGUACCUGAUCAGAAAGCCACGGCUAACUACGUG